CCCGCGCCCCUACCAGGCGGAGCAGGCAGCCCCACAGCAGGGCGGCCGCGGGCCCGGGCGGCCUCGGCCGCGCCCCCAUGGGCUGUGGGUCGGGUGGGCGCGGGACUGCGCGCGGUGCUCGGCUCGAUCUGCCCGGGGCUCGGCGGCGCUGCUCGGUGGCCGGCACGGCGCGACUUCCUCUUCCGGCCCCGCCCUGGGCGCGGGAAACCCCGCGUGGGCUGGGCGCCCACAGGCGGCGACGGGAUGGGGCGGCCCAGGGACCUGGCCACGGGCGUCGGGCCCCUCCCGCGGCCCAGCACCGCUGCGCGCUCAGGGCUAGACCGGCUCCCCGCGAGGGACUGCGAACGCAGGUGACAAAGACAAAAAUUAAAGCCAGGAAACAGUUUGCUCUGCUGAAGCACAAGCUUGUGGAUCAGACCACGUCCCUGCACCGUUUGGGGCCGAAUCCGAACUGUCCCGGGCUUCCUGGGCCCCGACAGCGCGAGGUCGCGGUCCCCGCACUUCCCACGCUCCAGCCUGACGCAGCCCGCUCGCUUAGGCCAGGACGUGGUUUAAUUCUUGCAUAGCACUUUGCACUCACUGUGUUGUAUUCUCUUGCUGAUCCGUCUGUCCAUUUAUUUUGUUUUGUUUUGAGACAGGGUCUCCCUAUGUAGUUCAGGCUGGCCCUGAACUCACUGUGUAGCCCAGGCUGGCCUGGAACUCCUGGAGACCCUCCUGCCUCAGCCUCGUAUUAAUUAUGACGCUGCCUCCCACUUGCUAGAAUGGGUGCCGUGUUUGCUUGGUGUCCCCAACACCUGCAACACGGGGCAGUGUUCAGUCCUCACGUGCGUGUGAGAGGGACAGUGUCCUUGCCACCCCACCGCUCCAGGGAGGCACACACCGCCUAGGCUGAAUUGUGACUCUAGGAUGCUAUGGAAGGGACAAAGUGUGUGUGGGGGGGCUAAGUGGGGUGCCCAGAAAAUGCCAGCCUGAACGGAGUCUUGAAGGGGAGCUAAUUUCAGCAGAGGGCUGAGUGUCCAAGCCAACGGUGGCCCUGGAGAAGCCACCAAACUCGUGCUGGGCUGAAGGUCCCAGAGGUGACAGGUGAAGUUAGAGGAGAGGCGGAGGCCAAAUCCCAGAUCCUCGGGCCCGCUGGGCCUGCGGCCUCCGAGCCGUGCAGGGUGGCGGCGGGGUCCUCGUAAACCUGUCACGACUCGCACCAGGCGGAAAGUCACUCGCAGAUGGAAAGAAAAAAGGAGGGGGAUAGAAAGAGAAGAAGAAAGCAGGAGGCUCCGUCUGUCCUAAUUCUUCUUCCACGACGCUUUCUCCUUGGUCAAAGUCCCUAUGCAGGAGGAAGGAAAGCAAAGCGAAAGGGAAAAGACGCUUGCUGGUUUGGCCUGGUGAGGUGGUGUAUGCCUGAGAUCCCGGCACGUCGAGCCUUGUUUCACACACACCCCCCAUCUCGUUUAAUGACUUGAUUUCUGGAGAGGCUGCCAAGAGCUCGUUUGGAUAUACUUUUGUACCUUCGGGGAUUACAUGGGUUGAAGGGUGCCUGGGUAUCUCUUAGAAAGUAUUUUUCUUCUCUGCAGAAACUAUAUAUAAAGCCUAAUUGUAGAAACUCAUGCUACAUUGCAGAUCCAUUUGAUUUGUAAAUAUAUUUAGUUUUUUUUCCCAAUGAUUAAAGAGCCUUAUUUCUUGUCAGACUUCUUUUUUUUUUUUUUUUUUUUUUUUUGAGACAAGGUCUCACUAUGUAGUUCAGGCUGGCCUUGAACUCACAGUGAUCCUCCUGCCUCAGCCUUCCAUGAAUCCCCCUCAAAAUCCUCCCCCUUGCCUUGAACACAUUUAUCCCAUGUUCUGGUCACUUUCUGCCCCUGCUCUGGAGUCCUCUUUUCUGAGUGAUCAAAAAUACAGUGAGUGCUGCUGUUGAGUGCCAUCUAAGGGAAAGGCAGCUCCUAAAAACACGACGCUGCGUCCUCAUCCAUGGUCUGGCACCACCGUGUGAUUUCUGACUCAUCCCCAAAGUCAAAAUGCCUGUGAAAGUUCAAAGUUUUGAACAGAUUCGGGACAUCGAGGCAGCCACAACCACACAACUCAGGGCUCCGGCUGCUGUGCCAUCUGCCACAAGGUCCUCCUCCGGGCUGAGCUGACCUACACACCUGUGAGCUAAGUAAAUUCCUUUAUAAAGUCACCUGGCAGGGUGUGGUGGUGCACAGCAGUAAUCCCAGCACUCGGGAGGUUGAGGCAGGAGGAUCGCCUUGAGUUCCAGGCCAG
This 2250-nucleotide long non-coding RNA is filed under the name Heterocephalus glaber (naked mole-rat). Its description in RNAcentral is "lncRNA (ENSHGLG00000033771.1)". The record is from RNAcentral. Lineage: Eukaryota; Metazoa; Chordata; Mammalia; Rodentia; Bathyergidae.